This is a long non-coding RNA of Hemicordylus capensis (graceful crag lizard), 527 nucleotides long. RefSeq lists it as uncharacterized. The transcript is spliced from 3 exons. The record is from RefSeq and is a predicted model, not a curated record. NCBI's taxonomy places the organism in Eukaryota, Metazoa, Chordata, Lepidosauria, Squamata, Cordylidae.
GGGGCUUCCAGAGAGGCCUCCGAGUAGGCCUCCCUGAAGCCUGAACUCGAGUAGGCCCCAAGCAAGGAAGUAAGGAAGGAGGAAGCAGGCAGCAGACCCUCUGCCCAGACCAGACCAUCCAGAACAGCUAUUGCUAGAAUACAAGGCGCAAAGCCCAUUUGUGUAAGAGCACAGAUGACUACUAGAAGAACUCAAGUUACAGAGAGGAACCAUCGAAGGGAAGAUCUUCCACUCUGGAUCGAGCAUCGGGCGUGAGACCGGAAGACCUGAGCCACGCAUGGCAAUGGAAGUUGCCAUUACUUUACCAGUUCCCUCCGAGGAGUGGCAAAUUGCAUGAAGUUCCUGCUUAGAGACCUGCGUGGCCUCCCGGAGAAAGACUUUGGCCGGGCCCUGCUGUUCUUCAGGGAGGUGGUCCAACAAGGGGACAAUAUGGUCCCAAAGAAAAGACUGGUAUUUGGCAUAAUAUGCCUGGUAGUUUGUAAUUCUUGUCAAUAAAGAAGCCAUGGAGUAUAAACGCCUUCCAAACA